Molecule: ribosomal RNA, 407 nt
Filed under: uncultured bacterium
Lineage: Bacteria
Description: partial 16S ribosomal RNA
Rfam family: Bacterial small subunit ribosomal RNA
Source: RNAcentral
AUUGAACGCUAGCGGCAUGCCUUACACAUGCAAGUCGAACGGAGUGGCGAACGGGUGAGUAAUGUCUCGGAACGUGCCCAGUAGUGGGGGAUAACUACGCGAAAGCGUCGCUAAUACCGCAUACUAUCGGAGCGGCCGAUAUCGGAUUAGCUAGUUGGUGGGGUAACGGCUUACCAAGGCGACGAUCCGUAGCUGGUUUGAGAGGAUGACCAGCCACACUGGGACUGAGACACGGUCCAGACUCCUACGGGAGGCAGCAGUGGGGAAUAUUGGACAAUGGGCGAAACCCUGAUCCAGCCAUGCCGCGUGUGUGAAGAAGGCCUUCGGGUUGUAAAGCACUUUUGGCAGGAAAGCGGUACCUGCAGAAUAAGCACCGGCUAACUACGUGCCAGCAGCCGCGGUAAUAC